CUCACGCCUCGGUAACACGCGCUCUGCUCUCUGCAGCGUGGCGAUUUAGAGGUAAUAUUUCCUUUUUGGACAAUGGGUGACGCUGAGGAUGAGUGUCUGCACGACAGACGGACACAGAUGAUGCCCGGACAGGUGGUGUAACGUUAGAUACUGCAGGUGAUAUGUCAAGUAAAAGCUCUCACUGGCUGAGCAGAAGACAGCUAGAUACACCUCCAGCUGUGCUCUCAGUCAAACUCUGAAACCACGCGUGUUGAGCACCAGCUCUGGGCCACUCUAUCCCGCAACACGUGAGCUGCCACAGGAACUUGUAAUUCAAAUGCAUCAGAUCCUCAGCAAGUCAAAGGCAGACAGUAUAAUGGUAAAAUAUCAAAAGCCCCGGUCACCCUGACAGCUAUAUUUCAUCAACGAUGAUCCUCCUAAACUGCCUCCCAGCUUCUCUUGGUCUAACUAAGUUGUCAGUUGUACCAUAUGGGAAGCACUACCUUCCUGCUGUCAAAUAAUCACUGAAUAUUUGCCUCCUGUCGCAGGUGGACUUCUGAGAGCUCCUUCAGCUUUGCAUGAAAUGACAGAGGCGAAGAUGAUUCUGAAUGGAUAAUGGGGUAUGGAUUGAAAUACUAGCUGCAGUGACUGGAAAAUUCAAGGGUACUAAAUCAAUGAGGCUAGAAAAUAUUCAACCAGCACAUUCCAAAUAAAAUAAACCAUGACAUAGUACACGUAUCUUUUAAAAACAGCAGUUUUCCCUGAAUAUGGCUAAAUUGUUAAGCUGGUGUUGAUCUUCCAUAGAUGAGCAAAAGGAGAGAGGAAAAAAAAUGUCUAGGCAGGUGGCCUGCUCUCAAUGAUUGCAAAACUGACGGAGUCUGUAAUUAACACUUGGCCAAUUAUGACCUCCCAAUGUCAAGCUGUUGCUGUAGUUCAGAGGGGAAACGUGCCUUUCAUUUUGAAAUGACCUUUAGAAGCAAGCCUUCAGUCAGUUGUACUGUAUAUGUAUAAUCUUCAGUCAGUUGUACUGCAUAUGUAUAUGUAUAAUCUUCAGUCAGUUGUACUGUAUAUGAAAGGAAAUCUCAAAACAAAGGAACAAUACCCAGUAGUUUUCAAUAACAAAACCCAAUUGUUGUGAGCAGCUGCCCCACGGCCUGGAGAGAAGUUAAUCCAGUGACUACUAAUGAUUUUCUUCCCCUCAUAAUAAUGUGUAGGAGAAAGUGAAGAACAGUAUGUCAAUGACUAAACAGCUCUAUUGAAUCACUGUUUUGGAGAAACUGUGGGUUUAACCAUCUUCUGUCUUUUACCACGAUUUUCCUCACUUCGUUGAGAUAAAUAGAGUAUAGGAAGCCUGGAUCUUAACUCUUCUUGCAGUUCACAGGGACAAUAAAAGAGGCAAUACGAAUCUCUCCCAGCAAGCUCCCACUUGCCCGCCCCUGCUAGAAGGUCUCUCUGGCAGGAGGAUCAGGAGGAGCAGAGCUGCAGAACAGCACUGUUCUAGACUUUAUAGUAUACACAAAGAAUAUCCUUAUGGAUAUUAUAUUUUAUCUCUCCUGGGAGGCACAACUGAGAUUACACUCCAGAUUUGACUGUUAACAAGGCCAAAUUACAACACUGAAUCUUGCUUUGCAUUUCAUGAACAUGUGACUUUUGGUUAUACCACAAGUAGUGAAGUUAACCAGAAAUGAGAGGUACACAUCUGUCUGCCCUGAGGAUUUCUGAUGUAGCUUCUCAAGUUACCAGACAGAUUCCCAGAGUGUUUAAAUUCACUCUACGGACCCUGCUUAGCAGCUGUGCUAUGGCAUAGAUGUUGGCUAUCACAUGUAUAGAUAUCCUCCCAAAAUCGAGGAGCAAAGAUGUAUCCCUGAAUUUCAGGACCCCACAUGCUGAACCACAGUGAGUUAACGGGGAAUGCUGUCAGUUUACCGUGAGGACAGCAUGCAGUGUGGAUGGCACCUGAUGUGCCUGAACAAGCGUUCUGUGGGCAUCUAUACAUCUGAAACCUCUGUGGCCGCAGGUGGCUAUGUCCAGGAAGCCCCCAGACUGCUGCAUUCGAGUGAUGCAGAUACAACCCGCACAUGUGCACCAGUCUAAGCAGACCAUCAAAAUCUAUCAGAAAUGUUUCAUUUUAAACUUACCAGGUAAAGUGUCUGUGUUUGUGAAGGUGUAAAUUUACUGGUUUUAAAUGACUAAAAAGAUCUCUUCUUAGAUGUACCAGGAAGACAGAAGCCUUUUAUUUUAUGAACAUUAAAAAGAAGAAAGCACAGUCAUCUUACACAAAAGCCAAGAAAUUAAUAAUAAAGGAAAACAGACUUCCUAAUCAGGAGAUACAGUUCACUUAAUACUGAACAGCAUAUCAUUAAAUCAAUUGAAAUAAUUCCAGCAUUUGAUGAAUUACUCAUUGGAUGGUUGGUUAUUUUCAUAGAUGUCCUUACAGCCUCAGUAGUGAGUCUAGGUUUGCUGCUAGAUGUAGCCAAAAUAUUCAGUUACUUAUCGCAACAAAUUGGAAGAAGAGAAGUUGGGUUAGGUUGAGUUGGGUUGGGUUGGGUUGGAAGGGACCUUCAAAGGACAUCUAGUCCAACCCCCAAUAUUACCAGUGUAGCUCUGCUCAGCUGCCCCCACCACAGUCAGCCACUGAGGAACAGACCAGUGUACGGGGGACCCUCUGCACCACCACAGAUCUCAGCCUUCUGGAUCUUCGUCCAUCCUACUUUUCUUUCCCGGUUCUGUCUCUAUGAUUCCCAUCACAGAUGCAGUCAUGGGCCUGUCAUGGCUACACAAAAUGGAACUUUUGCCUCCAAUUCUGAGAGGCUUUGAGCUGGCUUGAAUGUAAGCACAUGAGUAUAGGCUCAGAUCCACAAAUGGACUUUGGUGUUACCAUGUUUAACUUUUUCCUAGCUAACUCCCUCAGCAAAAUGCAGGACUCAGAAUGAAGUCCUACAAACACUCAAGUACUCUGGGCAUUUCAGUGGCCGACACAAGUUCAGAAGAACUCCGGACCACCAAUAGAGGAGCCAUUGAAGCUUGGUAGUGAGAAAUACUGAGGACUGGGAAGCCUGAACUCCCAGGGCUGUACAGGCUUUGUCAGAUCUCACCUGUUGGAUGAACCAUCAAGUCAGACUGUGCAGCACGUGGUCAGGGUCAUACCCUUCUUCUUCUUCUUGCUGUUCUGCGACUGUGUUCUGAGUAUUAAACACUGCAGAAGAAAAGUCUCUGAAAUUUUAAUGCAGUCACAGGAUUGCUCCUACCUUUACACAACACAUUGAAAUAUCAAUGGCGUUUAUAAUUUAAAAUGGAUUUGAUAUUGCAAGUAAUAAUAAUAAACAACUUGGUAUGAACUUUUUGUUAUCUUGUAAGUUGGAAAUAAACCUGAUUCAAUUUGAAAGUUA
Molecule: long non-coding RNA, 3368 nt
Organism: Columba livia (rock pigeon)
Lineage: Eukaryota; Metazoa; Chordata; Aves; Columbiformes; Columbidae
Exons: 2
Source: RefSeq, a predicted model, not a curated record